This 301-nucleotide ribosomal RNA is filed under the name uncultured bacterium. RNAcentral describes it as "partial 16S ribosomal RNA". It matches the Rfam family "Bacterial small subunit ribosomal RNA", at positions 509 to 807 of the family's 1533-position model. The record is from RNAcentral.
CAGUCGCCGCGGUAAUACGUAGGGCGCAAGCGUUAUCCGGAAUUAUUGGGCGUAAAGAGCUCGUAGGCGGUUUGUCGCGUCUGCCGUGAAAGUCCGGGGCUCAACCCCGGAUCUGCGGUGGGUACGGGCAGACUAGAGUGAUGUAGGGGAGACUGGAAUUCCUGGUGUAGCGGUGAAAUGCGCAGAUAUCAGGAGGAACACCGAUGGCGAAGGCAGGUCUCUGGGCAUUAACUGACGCUGAGGAGCGAAAGCAUGGGGAGCGAACAGGAUUAGAUACCCCCGUAGUCCCUGUCUCUUAUAC